RNAcentral lists this ribosomal RNA (497 nucleotides) under uncultured bacterium. Its description in RNAcentral is "partial 16S ribosomal RNA". It matches the Rfam family "Bacterial small subunit ribosomal RNA", at positions 28 to 507 of the family's 1533-position model. The record is from RNAcentral.
GAUGAACGCUGGCGGCGUGCCUAAUACAUGCAAGUCGAGCGAACGGACGAGAAGCUUGCUUCUCUGAUGUUAGCGGCGGACGGGUGAGUAACACGUGGAUAACCUACCUAUAAGACUGGGAUAACUUCGGGAAACCGGAGCUAAUACCGGAUAAUAUUUUGAACCGCAUGGUUCAAAAGUGAAAGACGGUCUUGCUGUCACUUAUAGAUGGAUCCGCGCUGCAUUAGCUAGUUGGUAAGGUAACGGCUUACCAAGGCAACGAUGCAUAGCCGACCUGAGAGGGUGAAGGGCAACACUGGAACGGAGACAAGGUGCAGACACCUACGGGAGGCAGCAGUAGGGGAUCUGCAGCAAUGGGCGAAAGACUGAAGGAGAAGAGGAGAGUGAGUGAUGAAGGUAUUCGGAUCGUAAAACUCUGUUAGUAGAGAAGAACAAAUGUGUAAGUAACUAUGCACGUCUUGACGGUAGAUAAUCAGAAAAACACGGCAAACUACGUG